This 1482-nucleotide long non-coding RNA is filed under the name Anser brachyrhynchus (Pink-footed goose). RNAcentral's name for it is "lncRNA (ENSABRG00000009551.1)". Lineage: Eukaryota; Metazoa; Chordata; Aves; Anseriformes; Anatidae. The record is from RNAcentral.
AAAGAACCGCGGCCCCGUGCUGUUGGCAGCCGGGCAGUAAUUAUAAUUAAAACAUCCCCAGGAAUUAAUAAGGGAGCAGCUGCCCGGGAGAUGCUCGGUGGCCCGGGCCGGGGGCGGCGGGCACGGCUCGGCCCGGCUGCGGUCAGAGCAGGGAGCCGCGGGACCUACCUGGGUUUAUUUUAUACUCACCCCUCUUUAAAAAUAAAUAAAUAAAAGAAAAAAAAGAAAGGAGACAGAAAGAAAGAAUCCGUUUGGGGGAAAUACUCGGCUGCUUUUUGGUGGGUUGCUUUUUGCGUGUGGAAAGCGAAUCGCUUCGGACGUGGAAGGAGAAGCCGGAUUUUUAGAAAGCUCGCUUGCUUCUCGCUCUGCCUUUUAACUUUUUUUUUUUUUUUCCUCGCUUUGUUUCCCUUUCCUCCCUGGCACCUCCGGCCUAAGGCGCCCCGAGCGCGCUCCGCAGCUGAGCAGCGCGGGGGGCACUCGCCCUCCCCGGCCCCUCUCCCCCCGAGCCCGGCCCAGCUCCCGUCGCCUAUCCCGGCCCUUCCCGGGCCAACCAGCCCGGCCCGGGACAAGCCGGCUCCGCCGCCCCCUCCGUGCCCUGCAGCCGGCGGAGGAGCCGCCGCCCGCCCGCCGCUUGCGACCACCCCCCCGGGGGCAGGAGGGGCCGAGGGGCUCCGCCGUGUCCCCCCCCCGAGGUGACCCCGGUGUGGGGUGCGGGACACCCGCGGAGGGAAGGGUGCGGGGUGUGUGUGGGGGGCAUGCCGGGUCCCCCUUCCCCAGCAUCCCGCACCCCCCACCCCGCCGGGCUGCUCUGGGGGUCCCCGGGGGGGGGGGACACGGCGAGUGCAGGGGGGGGCAGCGGUACGGGAGGGAGCCCCGCGUCUCUCCGGCCAGACGUGCUCCGCAGCGAGGAAAGGGAGUUUAUUAUUAUUAUUACCGUCAUCAUCAUUAUUAUUAUUAUUAUUUAAAAAACACACAAAAAAAGUUCAUUUCCUGGCGAAUUUGGCAGCGGCGGGUGACGUCAGAGCCCCGGCGUCGUAGUGACUGGGGCGGCCGGGCCGGGGGGAGGCCGGCUGCGGCUCCCAGCCCCCGACCCCAGCGCUGCCCCCAUGCCGGGGGGGGGUCGGCCCUAGGAGCCCCCCCCCGGGCACCCCCCGCGGGGCCCGGCACCGCCCGGCCGGCACCGAGCGGCUCCCGGCCCGGCCGCCCCGUCGGGCAGGGGCUGUGCUCCCAGCCGCCCCCCCCCGCAAAACGGGGGGGUCCUGGCCCUGCAGCCCCCCCCCGCCCCGGCUCGGAGGUUUUGGGGGCUGCAGCGAACGCUCCCGUUUUCCCCAAAAAGCAGAGGUUUGAGGAACGGGAGGGGAGCCCCCGGGAAACAGGACCCGCAGCAGCGCCCAUGGCGCUGCGGGGGUUCGCUUGUGACUUUCCCUUUUUUUUAUUUGUUGGUGGAUUUCUUUUUUUUUUUAUUAUUUUUUUUNNNNNNNN